GGAAGUGAGGGUGAUCUGGUCACCCUGUUGUUCACCUGGGUCGAUUUGGUUGUUCUGACGACCUAAACCGAUGUUCCCUCUUUCCUUCACUGCUCCAUCUGCAUCCCUCCUGAAGCUGUGUGCUCCGAGAAGAUGACCUUCCCCAAUAGAGGACCAGUCUGCAGUCGAAGGUAGAGGAGUAGCUGCACUACCUUGUUAGAACCUCCAAACAAGCCCUCAAAAUCCAUUUGUAGAACAGAGGAUAUUUCAGUCCAUUCUCUGUUACUUAAUAAAUGAUACCUGAAACUGGG
RNAcentral lists this small nuclear RNA (290 nucleotides) under Tupaia belangeri chinensis (Chinese tree shrew). RNAcentral's name for it is "Tupaia chinensis (Chinese tree shrew) 7SK RNA". It matches the Rfam family "7SK RNA". From Rfam's summary of the family: 7SK was discovered as an abundant small nuclear RNA in the mid-70s but a possible function has only recently been suggested. Two independent studies have found that 7SK RNA binds the CDK9/cyclin T complex (known as elongation factor P-TEFb). P-TEFb activates transcription by phosphorylating the C-terminal domain of RNA polymerase II. The record is from Rfam by way of RNAcentral. Lineage: Eukaryota; Metazoa; Chordata; Mammalia; Scandentia; Tupaiidae.